RNAcentral lists this ribosomal RNA (649 nucleotides) under uncultured Lachnospiraceae bacterium. Its description in RNAcentral is "bacterial SSU rRNA". It matches the Rfam family "Bacterial small subunit ribosomal RNA", at positions 70 to 734 of the family's 1533-position model. Lineage: Bacteria; Bacillati; Bacillota; Clostridia; Lachnospirales; Lachnospiraceae. The record is from RNAcentral.
GAGAGAGAGUUUACUUUUUCGAGCGAGUGGCGAACGGGUGAGUAACGCGUGAGGAACCUGCCUCAAAGAGGGGGACAACAGUUGGAGACGACUGCUAAUACCGCAUAAGCCCACGGCUCGGCAUCGAGCAGAGGGAAAAGGAGCAAUCCGCUUUGAGAUGGCCUCGCGUCCGAUUAGCUAGUUGGUGAGGUAACGGCCCACCAAGGCGACGAUCGGUAGCCGGACUGAGAGGUUGAACGGCCACAUUGGGACUGAGACACGGCCCAGACUCCUACGGGAGGCAGCAGUGGGGAAUAUUGCACAAUGGGGGAAACCCUGAUGCAGCGACGCCGCGUGGAGGAAGAAGGUCUUCGGAUUGUAAACUCCUGUUGUUGAGGAAGAUAAUGACGGUACUCAACAAGGAAGUGACGGCUAACUACGUGCCAGCAGCCGCGGUAAAACGUAGGUCACAAGCGUUGUCCGGAAUUACUGGGUGUAAAGGGAGCGCAGGCGGGAAGACAAGUUGGAAGUGAAAUCCAUGGGCUCAACCCAUGAACUGCUUUCAAAACUGUUUUUCUUGAGUAGUGCAGAGGUAGGCGGAAUUCCCGGUGUAGCGGUGGAAUGCGUAGAUAUCGGGAGGAACACCAGUGGCGAAGGCGGCCUACUGGGC